Long non-coding RNA from Harpia harpyja (harpy eagle), 3280 nucleotides. RefSeq lists it as uncharacterized. The record is from RefSeq and is a predicted model, not a curated record. The transcript is spliced from 5 exons. NCBI's taxonomy places the organism in Eukaryota, Metazoa, Chordata, Aves, Accipitriformes, Accipitridae.
GACCACAGAGAAAAAUAUGUCCUUUCAACCAGAUCUGUAAUUACUUACCGUGCUGAAAGAAAAUACUUAACAGUGAAAAAAUUGAAGAUCUUUCUUCAGAGAAGUUAUGCUAGAAAUACUUUCAUGAUCCAUGCUGUUUCCUGUCUUAUGCCUGACAUGCACUAUGAGUAAUUUUGGAAAUUCUUCUGCACCAAUGACAGAGACAACAUGAACACAGUCUCUGCUACCUCAAAUUCUGCAGUCCGGUUUCCCAUGUGUUGGUAAAUCCGCAGGGUCAGCAUGCCCAAGGUGCAAGAAGUGGAUGGGAAAACCCAACUGCCUCUUUCCUUUUGCCAGCAUGCUUUGGAAACGGCGCUCUGCCAAUCCUCCCAAGCGACUUCAGUUACGCGCCACCAGAGAAACAGGAUCAUUUGGACAGGUGAACCCUGGCAUGGCACCAACGUCCUCUUCAUUGCAAGCAAUAAUGUGUUGCUGAGUAUUGGAUGUGAAGAUAACGGUGUUGCCUAGGAGUUACUGAAGGAGCAACGAGGAGAUAAUGGAAUCAUACAAGUGCUUUUGGAAAUAAAUGGCCCCACAGAAUAUUACUGUUGGUGAGAAUGCAAUAGCGGGAAAGAACAAGCUCAGCUAUUGAGACUGUUUGCAGAAAACACACGGAGAAGAAAUGCCGUGGUUUUGUCCUUGAGCGUUAAGCAAGCUCAUGGGCAAAUGAGGGAGAGACAAUAAGCGCAAAGCUCCUGCCUGCCCCUUUUACUUUCAUUUUGAGAAGAAACUUCAAUAACGAAUCUUGAAGAAAUGAAUCACCUUUUCUCCCAUUGCCCUCCCCAGAGCUCUCAGCCACCAGCUUGGCAGGAACUUUCAGGUGGAGAAACAGCCCCUGGAGCGGGGGGAGGCCCAGAGGAGAGAAAGGUGCCAACACGGCGGAAGACGAAACCAUUCAAAGAAGGACAGAAAAGUAAAGAGCUCCGACCAAGUCCGUGCCUGACGUUAGCCGAGUGUGGGUCGCUGCCCUGUGCCAGCAGUGCAUUUCCUUCGUACUUCCACAAGAGAAGGACCACUCCCCGCUUGCUGACCACGAACUCCAGCACUGGUAUCCUGAGUUUUUAAGAGACCCUUUAUUUUUCACAGAAUGAUAGAGCACAUAAACACCUCAGUGAAUAGCACGUGUCUGCACAUGGAAGACACUUUGUACACACCUGGUUUCAAUAAAGUUCAGUCCAUAUAGCAGAUUAAUAACUGUAACUGGAUAAUGUAAUUUUUAAUGGGCUAGGCAUUUCCUACUACCACUUCUCCUUUCUUCCCCUCUUCUUGCCAGCACUCAAUAAAUGGAUAUUAUUUCCCAACUGACUAAAUUUUAACACCCAUAGUAUGGGAAGCAUAAUAAUUAUUUGAUCCGUGGAUAUUUUAUCACAUAUGUUCCUACAGCUCUUAGAGAAUAACAUAUGUUAUUUAGCUCCUUGGUGAAGCAUGGGCAUCUUCAAAUGCACUUGGCUUACGCUGUAAUUGAUUUCAAUAAAAUUUAGGAAUUCAUCUGGGCUACAUGAGAGACGUACAGCAAACAGGGCCAAACCCCUAUUUUUAGGAGCUUUUUAUGCAUGUGGAAAAGAGAAUAAAAAUUCAGGGAACAUGCAGGCAAUGAAAGCAGUGCUGCUUUGUGUGAUUUCUGCCAGAUGCAGACAGAAAGCCUAUAGCAGCGUUGAGAAAUGAACCUUGUUGUUCUGUACACCAUUUUUGUUGAGCGCGGGACUAUCUUUCCUUUCUUUGAGCACGUAAGCUGAAUCAAACAAGCACACACAAGAUAAAGGAGAGCAGAUGUGUGGCUGAGGAUGAAAAUGGAUUGUUUAAACAGACUGGUUUAAGCACUACAUGUCAGAAGGACAAAUACACAAAAUGGAGAUUUAUCAGCUAUCUAAGUAGCCACACUGUCGAAAGGAGCUCAGGCUUAGCAGAGGGCAGAAAUGGCAGCUGGGACAGGCUGCUGCUCUUACUCCUGAUUAUCCCAGGGAUAACAUACGAGAGAAUUAGGAAGAAAUUAUUAAGCUAUAGAAUUUACUUUCAUUUAUAUGCUGGCUAUUUUAGUACAGUAUUAUAUGUUAUCUUGUCCACAGUUAAGCCAGGAUGACGACUAGCUGGUUUAUACUCUCCAGUUUUGAAUGUCAUACAAAAUUAUUUUUUGUAGUUAAAUCAGAUAAGAGCAAGAAAAUAUAAAAAGACAAAAAAAGACUCUCAAAACCUGAUCAGUGGGGAAAGGUCAAAGAAAUGGAGUUGUUUAAUCUGGAAAGGACAUAAAUAAAAAGGAAUGUGCUAUUGGUAUUCCAAUAUGUGAAAGCUGUUUCUCUUCUAAGGAGGCUGGUGAUCGAUUAUUCUCCAUUUUGAUUGUGGCUUGGCUUAAUUUACCGUAAGGGAGAAUAGGAUUAGAUACUCAGAAAAAAAGUCUUUCUAGCUAUAAGAGUAGUUAAACACUAGAACAGACAAUAUAGGGAAGUCUUGGGACAGCAUUCCUUGGAGAUUUUCAAAAAUAAGGUUAGACAAACAUCCAUCAGAGAUGAUCUGAGUAUACUUAAUCCUGCGAAGGGAAUAGCUAAUCUCCUGGGGUCCUUCCCAGCUCUGCAUUUUGAUGAUGUCUAAGAGAAAGGUGACAGAUGGAGGAGAAAAUGGGAUGAGAGCAGGUAGGAUUAGUACGGACUUCAGGGGUGGUGUGGGAGAAGCCCCAAGGCGCAGACUGGGACAGCAAGCACGAGGAGCAGUGACAUAAACCUGCAGUCUCUGCAGACAGCAUCCAGAUUGCCUUGCAUGGCUCUUAAGGAAAUUGAUGCAUCUAGGUCAUUUGCACUUAUUUGUCUAAAUAUGAUCUUUUUUUACCCUACAGCUUCUAUGAUUUCCCUUUCUUUCCCUAGCUGAGGUUAAUUAAGCUCUUCUGAAAAAUGCUCUGCAGUCUGUUCACGUAAUAUGUACUGAGGAUUCACAAGGAAAAGAUGAAGCCAAAAAAAGUAAUAUUUGAUGGGAGCACAAAACAAAGUUUUGACACAUUACGUAAACCUACCACAAUUCUGCUCUCUGCAUUUGCUUUGUCGGAGGUUUACAGCUGAAGUGCUUGUGCCUGAGGUAGCGGCUGCGUUCAGGGGGAUGUACCUGACUGCGUGACCUGCUUGGGCCAUUUUCUCCUGCUCUCACUCUGACUUAAAUAUCCCUAUUUCACUGUCCACUGUCUGAAGGGGGGAGGUGACUUUCUCUAGCUGCGCUUGAAAGAAAAAAAUCUCAUUUGUGACCAUCGUAAGGAAAC